GUGCCAGCAGCCGCGGUAAUACGUAGGGUGCAAGCGUUAAUCGGAAUUACUGGGCGUAAAGCGUGCGCAGGCGGUUUGCUAAGACCGAUGUGAAAUCCCCGGGCUCAACCUGGGAACUGCAUUGGUGACUGGCAGGCUAGAGUAUGGCAGAGGGGGGUAGAAUUCCACGUGUAGCAGUGAAAUGCGUAGAGAUGUGGAGGAAUACCGAUGGCGAAGGCAGCCACCUGGGUCAACACUGACGCUCAUGUACGAAAGCGUGGGGAGCAAACAGGAUUAGAAACCCUAGUAGUCC
RNAcentral lists this ribosomal RNA (292 nucleotides) under uncultured prokaryote. RNAcentral describes it as "partial 16S ribosomal RNA". It matches the Rfam family "Bacterial small subunit ribosomal RNA", at positions 505 to 796 of the family's 1533-position model. The record is from RNAcentral.